This 460-nucleotide ribosomal RNA is filed under the name uncultured bacterium. Its description in RNAcentral is "partial 16S ribosomal RNA". It matches the Rfam family "Bacterial small subunit ribosomal RNA", at positions 338 to 795 of the family's 1533-position model. The record is from RNAcentral.
CCUACGGGUGGCAGCAGUGAGGAAUAUUUGUCAAUGGACGAGAGUCUGAACCAGCCAAGUAGCGUGAAGGAUGACUGCCCUAUGGGUUGUAAAUGUCUUUUAUAAAGGAAUAAAACGAGGCACGUGUGCCUUAUUGCAUGUACUUUAUGAAUAAGGAUCGGUUAACUCCGUGCGAGCAGCCGCGGUAAUACGGAGGUGCCGAGUGUUAUCCGGAUUUAUUGGGUUUAAGGGGUGCGUAGAUGGGUUGUUAAGUCAGUGGUGAAGGUCUGCGGCUCAUCCGGUAAAGUGCCAUUGAUACUGGCAGUCUUGAGUACAGUUGCGGGAGGCGGAAUGCGUGGUGUAGCGGUGAAAUGCUUAGAUAUCACGAAGAACACCGAUUGCGAAGGCAGCUUACUAAACUGUGACUGACACUGAUGCACGAAAGUGUGGGUAUCAAACAGGAUUAGAUACCCCUGUAGUC